Molecule: ribosomal RNA, 426 nt
Filed under: uncultured bacterium
Lineage: Bacteria
Description: bacterial SSU rRNA
Rfam family: Bacterial small subunit ribosomal RNA
Source: RNAcentral
UGGGGAAUUUUGGACAAUGGCGCAAGCCUGAUCCAGCCAUGCCGCGUGCAGGAUGAAGGCCUUCGGGUUGUAAACUGCUUUUGUACGGAGCGAAAAGGUCUGCCCUAAUACGGUGGGCUCAUGACGGUACCGUAAGAAUAAGCACCGGCUAACUACGUGCCAGCAGCCGCGGUAAUACGUAGGGCGCAAGCGUUAAUCGGAAUUACUGGGCGUAAAGCGUGCGCAGGCGGUUAUGCAAGACAGAGGUGAAAUCCCCGGGCUCAACCUGGGAACUGCCUUUGUGACUGCAUAGCUAGAGUACGGUAGAGGGGGAUGGAAUUCCGCGUGUAGCAGUGAAAUGCGUAGAUAUGCGGAGGAACACCGAUGGCGAAGGCAAUCCCCUGGACCUGUACUGACGCUCAUGCACGAAAGCGUGGGGAGCAAACA